UACAGAGGGUGCGAGCGUUAAUCGGAAUUACUGGGCGUAAAGCGUGCGUAGGCGGUUCGCUGUGUCCGAUGUGAAAGCCCCGGGCUUAACCUGGGAAUGGCAUUGGAAACUGGCGGGCUUGAGUGUGGCAGAGGGGGGUGGAAUUCCGCGUGUAGCAGUGAAAUGCGUAGAGAUGCGGAGGAACACCGAUGGCGAAGGCAGCCCCCUGGAUUAACACUGACGCUCAGGCACGAAAGCGUGGGGAGCAAACAGG
This 253-nucleotide ribosomal RNA is filed under the name uncultured bacterium. Its description in RNAcentral is "partial 16S ribosomal RNA". It matches the Rfam family "Bacterial small subunit ribosomal RNA", at positions 524 to 776 of the family's 1533-position model. The record is from RNAcentral.